UACAGAGACUGCGAGCGCUAUUCGGAUUCACUGGGCGUAAAGGGUGCGCAGGUGGGCUCACAAGUCAGGGGUGAAAUCCCACGGCCCAACCGUGGAAGUGCCUUUGAUACUGUGGGCCUCGAGGGGGAUAGGGGCGUGCGGAACUCAGGGUGGAGCGGUGAAAUGCGUAGAUAUCCUGAGGAACACCGGUGGCGAAAGCGGCGCGCUGGAUCCCUUCUGACGCUGAGGCGCGAAAGCCAGGGGAGCAAACGGG
RNAcentral lists this ribosomal RNA (253 nucleotides) under uncultured bacterium. RNAcentral describes it as "partial 16S ribosomal RNA". It matches the Rfam family "Bacterial small subunit ribosomal RNA", at positions 524 to 776 of the family's 1533-position model. The record is from RNAcentral.